This 643-nucleotide ribosomal RNA is filed under the name Staphylococcus hominis. RNAcentral's name for it is "bacterial SSU rRNA". It matches the Rfam family "Bacterial small subunit ribosomal RNA", at positions 56 to 682 of the family's 1533-position model. The record is from RNAcentral. Lineage: Bacteria; Bacillati; Bacillota; Bacilli; Caryophanales; Staphylococcaceae.
UGCAGUCGAGCGAACAGACGAGGAGCUUGCUCCUUUGACGUUAGCGGCGGACGGGUGAGUAACACGUAGGUAACCUACCUAUAAGACUGGGAUAACUUCGGGAAACCGGAGCUAAUACCGGAUAAUAUUUCGAACCGCAUGGUUCGAUAGUGAAAGAUGGCUUUGCUAUCACUUAUAGAUGGACCUGCGCCGUAUUAGCUAGUUGGUAAGGUAACGGCUUACCAAGGCAACGAUACGUAGCCGACCUGAGAGGGUGAUCGGCCACACUGGAACUGAGACACGGUCCAGACUCCUACGGGAGGCAGCAGUAGGGAAUCUUCCGCAAUGGGCGAAAGCCUGACGGAGCAACGCCGCGUGAGUGAUGAAGGUCUUCGGAUCGUAAAACUCUGUUAUUAGGGAAGAACAAACGUGUAAGUAACUGUGCACGUCUUGACGGUACCUAAUCAGAAAGCCACGGCUAACUACGUGCCAGCAGCCGCGGUAAUACGUAGGUGGCAAGCGUUAUCCGGAAUUAUUGGGCGUAAAGCGCGCGUAGGCGGUUUUUUAAGUCUGAUGUGAAAGCCCACGGCUCAACCGUGGAGGGUCAUUGGAAACUGGAAAACUUGAGUGCAGAAGAGGAAAGUGGAAUUCCAUGUGUAGCGGU